GGGGUCUAUACCGAGAUGGCGCGGUACCGGUCUUUUAAACCGGACGAGGGUCAGUUCGAUUCUGACAGGCCCCACCA
Molecule: transfer RNA, 77 nt
Filed under: Terriglobia bacterium
Lineage: Bacteria; Pseudomonadati; Acidobacteriota; Terriglobia
Description: tRNA-Lys
Rfam family: tRNA
About the family: Transfer RNA (tRNA) molecules are approximately 80 nucleotides in length.
Source: RNAcentral